This is a long non-coding RNA of Portunus trituberculatus (swimming crab), 739 nucleotides long. RefSeq lists it as uncharacterized. The transcript is spliced from 4 exons. NCBI's taxonomy places the organism in Eukaryota, Metazoa, Arthropoda, Malacostraca, Decapoda, Portunidae. The record is from RefSeq and is a predicted model, not a curated record.
CUCAUAAGUAACUACUGGAAACAGAUCAAGGUUAUGGCUUGUGAUUUCCUUGAUGUUGAAGUCCUGCCAGCAUGAUUAGCGCGUGGAAGGGCAAGGGAAAGCAGUUAAUACAUUACACAAUUUGUGGAGUUUCUCCGGUCGUAUGUUUACAAUGUCCCUUCCAGUUUCCCUUGUUACCAUGACCAAAAUAGAAGCCUUCAGAACACUCAUUUGACUCCACCACAAGGACAAGGUCAAAGGAGAUCCUUGCUUCAUCACAAUUACCAGGAAAAACCACCAGUGACAGGUGUGGUGUACCAAGGGUUGCCUGCCACUGGCAACACAAGUCACAGAGACCUGCCUCUCCACCCCAACCUUGCAUCUGUUGGCCCACAGCAGAGACAAAGUCCUCAAUUCUCAUCACCACCACUGCUGCUUCAUCUGCUUGGCUCUCCUGAAGAAGAAUGAAUAGUGAAAGUGGAUCAGCUCUAAAGAAGGUCACUGAGGCUGCCACUGGGCCAUCCACCACUCUGCAGGACACCCCUGCCUCCUGAAGCUGGCUGAGCACAAGGCCGCCUUCCCUGGCCUCUACUAGCCUCCGCUCCAGCUCCACCACCAGCAUCUGAUUUGCCCCACCUGCUGUCCUCCUGAGGAUUGUGGGAGAUAGACCUUAUGGAACUGUGGUUCCUCGUCACUGGAACAUAAGGCUACAAGUGGCUCCUCGUCACAGAGCGAUGAUGCUGCAAAUGGUUCCUCCUCA